CGCGGGGUAGAGCAGUUUGGUAGCUCGCAAGGCUCAUAACCUUGAGGUCACGGGUUCAAAUCCUGUCUCCGCUA
This 74-nucleotide transfer RNA is filed under the name Lindera metcalfiana. RNAcentral's name for it is "tRNA-fMet". It matches the Rfam family "tRNA". From Rfam's summary of the family: Transfer RNA (tRNA) molecules are approximately 80 nucleotides in length. Their secondary structure includes four short double-helical elements and three loops (D, anti-codon, and T loops). RNAcentral also lists the same sequence under 2 other names. The record is from RNAcentral. Lineage: Eukaryota; Viridiplantae; Streptophyta; Magnoliopsida; Laurales; Lauraceae.